Molecule: non-coding RNA, 2032 nt
Organism: Coturnix japonica (Japanese quail)
Lineage: Eukaryota; Metazoa; Chordata; Aves; Galliformes; Phasianidae
Source: RefSeq, a predicted model, not a curated record
AGAUUUUUGCUUGCCAAAAAUAAAUGAAUCAGUUAAAAUAUUCCACAUAGAGAUCUGCAGAUCCGAAAUGCAGAGAGGUCACUGUAAACAGCUGAAAGAAUUUCCCUCUCCCCAAGAGAGCAAUCAUCAAGUAUGUUCUCUGAGGAAGAAGAAGCGCAGUUUUAGAAUGUGUUUCCUGCUCUGGAUCAUUUUUAAUGUUCUGAAGGCAGCAGUUACUUCAUUUAAAACAAGUAUUUCAGACCUUGUAAUUAGGAUAGCUGCUCUAAUUAUUUUUUACAAGUGCUGCGUUUCAAAACUAAUUAUAUAUAUAUAUAUGUAUGUAUGUUAAGGCCUCAUGUGAAAAAAGAAAUGCAAAGCAAACCUCACAACAGCAACGUAAGGCCCUGCCUGUUUUUCUCCUGGUUACCAACCCUGUACAAAUUAAAAGCACAUUAGCUACUUUGAAAACAAAUCUGCCUGCAGUUCAACCUUUUCUCUUUGGAGUUUUAGUUUGAAGAUAGCGGUGGCAUUUCACUGCCUGAGCCACUUGAGUGAAUUUCCUGGUUUUGCUUGGUUGCUUAAUUUCCUGUUGGGCUCAUAUUUUGCUUAAUUCAAGACAAAAAGACCCCUAUAAAUUGGAUGAAUGAUUGAAAUUGCAGAGCUGGACGUAGUAGUUCGAUUGCAGUUCAGUAUGUGCCUGUCUGAAGAGAGGUAGGAUUUCUGAGACAUGCAUGUAGCUCUAAAAAUGUCUUUAAUUCAGCAUUUUCUCUCCUUAUCGAAUUACCCCUCUAAAUAUCCAAAUAUCUGUUAUCAAAGGUCUUCUCUUCGUGUUCAGCUUUUAAUGCGUGUCCAUGACAAGUUUUCCCCUGUUACGACAUAACUCUUAAGUCUCUAAAACAGGACCAAAAUAAAACAAUAGGAAGUGCCACAGUCUGUUAUUCAUAACAGCUCUCCAGCAGUACUUGGGAGUACAUAUGAAACAGAUCUACUUCUCUGCAUUCUCUGCGUGAUUUCUCCAGUACUAGGCUUUACAUUCAUGUUUUAUAUACUCGAGAUAACUCAGCGUUAUCUCCUGCAUGGGGCUGAAAGCUUCAGGAUUCAAAUUCUGCAUUGACCGGAUCAUAGCAUCGUAGAAUUAUAGAAUAGAAUCAAAGAAUGCUCUUAAGUUGGAAGGAACCUUCAAGGACCAUUGACUCCAACCUCUGGCUCUACUCAGGACCACCCAAAACUGAGGCUACAUGAAAGUCGUGACAACACCCUGUUACAGAACCUACUUCUGAUGUAUCUGUAACUAAAGUUUCUUUUCAAUCAACAACUUGAUGGGUACCAAAUUAUUAAUUUAGAUGGUCUAUUAGUGGCAGGGAUCUCCCUUGCUUGUACAUCUGGUUAAUGGCCUAGAACAUCAUCACUGUUUACAGUUAUUUCUAACAGGAACUGAGAUCAAAGAUCAAGUUAAUGGAAGAAAGAACAAUGCAAGAUGAGAGCCAGCCCUCUGGUAGGAGGGACUAUAUUCAGCCCUUGCAGAGCCUUGUCUGGCCCGGGGCAACCCGAAUACCUCUCUUUUGUUCCGUGCUCCUUCAUCACCACAGCAACAAACGGGGAAUCUAAACACAGUGCAGUCAGCAGCAGAAGCAAGGCUGGCACCGAAUGGGGAGCAAAAGAAGCAACAUCAGUGACUCCUAUCCUGGGUUCUACAAGAGAGGAUCCACCUUUGUGCAAGCCAACAUCUUUGCAACACCGCUGAGCCCCACUAUGCAGCAGGAAUUACAGCAUCAGAGCUACAGAUGAACAUGGACUACUUGUUGUUGGUUCUGAGUCUGGGAAGGGAUCUUUGCCAGCUGCAGCUGCUGGAAGGUACAGCGACUUGGCAUGGUUUGGGAACUGAUGGAUCAUCUGGCUUUGGAGCCAAGGAAGCUUGGACGCUCUCAUCCACGGCCUCUGGUUCCAGGAGUGUCAGAAGGCCUCCAGUUUUUCCCUAAUCUGAGAUUUGUGAGGCACCCUGAAACAUCUGUAUCACCAGGCUAUGUCAUGGGAAAGUUCUUUUUGCUGGUUA